AAUAGAUACCCAGGUAGUCCACGCCGUAAACGAUGAGUGCUAAGUGUUAGGGGGUUUCCGCCCCUUAGUGCUGCAGCUAACGCAUUAAGCACUCCGCCUGGGGAGUACGGUCGCAAGACUGAAACUCAAAGGAAUUGACGGGGGCCCGCACAAGCGGUGGAGCAUGUGGUUUAAUUCGAAGCAACGCGAAGAACCUUACCAGGUCUUGACAUCCCAUUGACCACUAUGGAGACAUAGUUUUCCCUUCGGGGACAACGGUGACAGGUGGUGCAUGGUUGUCGUCAGCUCGUGUCGUGAGAUGUUGGGUUAAGUCCCGCAACGAGCGCAACCCUUGUUCUUAGUUGCCAUCAUUUAGUUGGGCACUCUAAGGAGACUGCCGGUGACAAACCGGAGGAAGGUGGGGAUGACGUCAAAUCAUCAUGCCCCUUAUGACCUGGGCUACACACGUGCUACAAUGGACGGUACAAACGGUUGCCAACCCGCGAGGGGGAGCUAAUCCGAUAAAACCGUUCUCAGUUCGGAUUGUAGGCUGCAACUCGCCUACAUGAAC
RNAcentral lists this ribosomal RNA (550 nucleotides) under uncultured bacterium. RNAcentral describes it as "bacterial SSU rRNA". It matches the Rfam family "Bacterial small subunit ribosomal RNA", at positions 777 to 1325 of the family's 1533-position model. The record is from RNAcentral.